RNAcentral lists this ribosomal RNA (518 nucleotides) under Staphylococcus epidermidis. Its description in RNAcentral is "bacterial LSU rRNA". It matches the Rfam family "Bacterial large subunit ribosomal RNA", at positions 871 to 1393 of the family's 2925-position model. Lineage: Bacteria; Bacillati; Bacillota; Bacilli; Caryophanales; Staphylococcaceae. The record is from RNAcentral.
UAGGGCUAGCCUCAAGUGAUGAUUAUUGGAGGUAGAGCACUGUUUGGACGAGGGGCCCCUCUCGGGUUACCGAAUUCAGACAAACUCCGAAUGCCAAUUAAUUUAACUUGGGAGUCAGAACAUGGGUGAUAAGGUCCGUGUUCGAAAGGGAAACAGCCCAGACCACCAGCUAAGGUCCCAAAAUAUAUGUUAAGUGGAAAAGGAUGUGGCGUUGCCCAGACAACUAGGAUGUUGGCUUAGAAGCAGCCAUCAUUUAAAGAGUGCGUAAUAGCUCACUAGUCGAGUGACACUGCGCCGAAAAUGUACCGGGGCUAAACAUAUUACCGAAGCUGUGGAUUGUCCUUUGGACAAUGGUAGGAGAGCGUUCUAAGGGCGUCGAAGCAUGAUCGCAAGGACAUGUGGAGCGCUUAGAAGUGAGAAUGCCGGUGUGAGUAGCGAAAGACGGGUGAGAAUCCCGUCCACCGAUUGACUAAGGUUUCCAGAGGAAGGCUCGUCCGCUCUGGGUUAGUCGGGUCCUA